This 253-nucleotide ribosomal RNA is filed under the name uncultured bacterium. Its description in RNAcentral is "partial 16S ribosomal RNA". It matches the Rfam family "Bacterial small subunit ribosomal RNA", at positions 524 to 776 of the family's 1533-position model. The record is from RNAcentral.
UACAGAGGUCCCGAGCGUUGUUCGGAUUCAUUGGGCGUAAAGGGUUCGUAGGUGGCCUACUAAGUCAGACGUGAAAUCCCUCAGCUCAACUGGGGAACUGCGUCUGAGACUGGAAGGCUUGAGUGCAGGAGAGGAACGCGGAAUUCCAGGUGUAGCGGUGAAAUGCGUAGAUAUCUGGAGGAACACCGGUGGCGAAGGCGGCGUUCUGGACUGUUACUGACACUGAGGAACGAAAGCCAGGGGAGCAAACGGG